This 497-nucleotide ribosomal RNA is filed under the name uncultured bacterium. RNAcentral's name for it is "partial 16S ribosomal RNA". It matches the Rfam family "Bacterial small subunit ribosomal RNA", at positions 28 to 507 of the family's 1533-position model. The record is from RNAcentral.
GACGAACGCUGGCGGCGUGCCUAAUACAUGCAAGUAGAACGCUGAAGAGAGGAGCUUGCUCUUCUUGGAUGAGUUGCGAACGGGUGAGUAACGCGUAGGUAACCUGCCUUGUAGCGGGGGAUAACUACUGGAAACGAUAGCUAAUACCGCAUAACAAUGGAUGACACAUGUCAUUUAUUUGAAAGGGGCAAUUGCUCCACUACAAGAUGGACCUGCGUUGUAUUAGCUAGUAGGUGAGGUAAUGGCUCACCUAGGCGACGAUACAUAGCCGACCUGAGAGGGUGAUCGGCCACACUGGGACUGAGACACGGCCCAGACUCCUACGGGAGGCAGCAGGAGGGGAUCUUCGGCAAUGGGGGCAACCCUGACCGCGCAACGCCGCGGGAGUGAAGAAGGGUUUCGGAUCGUAAAGCUCUGUUGUAAGUCAAGAACGGGUGUGAGAGUGGAAAGUUCACGCUGUGACGGUAGCUUAACAGAAAGGGACGGCUAACUACGUG